Molecule: ribosomal RNA, 480 nt
Filed under: uncultured bacterium
Lineage: Bacteria
Description: partial 16S ribosomal RNA
Rfam family: Bacterial small subunit ribosomal RNA
Source: RNAcentral
GACGAACGCUGGCGGCGUGCUUAACACAUGCAAGUCGAGCGGAAAGGCCACUUCGGUGGUACUCGAGCGGCGAACGGGUGAGUAACACGUGAGUAAUCUGCCCUUGGCUUUGGGACAGCCACCGGAAACGGUGAUUAAUACCGGAUAUGACCACUCUAGGCAUCUAGUGGUGGUGGAAAGUUUUUCGGCCAGGGAUGUGCUCGCGGCCUAUCAGCUUGAUGGUGAGGUAAUGGCUCACCAUGGCUUCGACGGGUAGCCGGCCUGAGAGGGUGUCCGGUCACACUGGGACUGGGACACGGCCCAGACUCCUACGGGAGGCAGCAGUGGGGAAUAUUGGACAAUGGGCGGAAGCCUGAUCCAGCAACGCCGCGUGAGGGAUGACGGCCUUCGGGUUGUAAACCUCUUUCAGCAGGGACGAAGCGCGAGUGACGGUACCUGCAGAAGAAGCACCGGCCAACUACGUGCCAGCCGCCGCAGUAA